RNAcentral lists this long non-coding RNA (1308 nucleotides) under Fukomys damarensis (Damara mole-rat). RNAcentral describes it as "lncRNA (ENSFDAG00000022673.1)". The record is from RNAcentral. Lineage: Eukaryota; Metazoa; Chordata; Mammalia; Rodentia; Bathyergidae.
UUUUUUAUAUGAUGACCAUCUUUCUCCUUCACAGAAACAAAGUUUUUAAUCACCCUGCGAGUUACUGCUGAUGUCAGGAGAAGAAAACAGAACAGAACAAAACAAAAAUCUGCCUGGAGAGAGAAGCUGUACGGCUGACUAGGCUAACUCACGAGCUCCUCAAGCCCCCUCUUAGGCUAGCUUCAAAGCACAUACGAUUCGAAUUUGAACCUCAGCGAAACUGCCAAUUAACACAUCACAAACCUUCAUGGUCGAUUGCAAAUAUUCAAAACCUAGAGUGUUAAAUCUGUGCAUACCCAGAGUCUCCUGCAUAGUUCUUUGGCAGUUCAGUGUUACAUAAUUUGGGGUGAGAAACCCAGGUUGCUGUUGGGAAUGGUAACGAUCGGAUUGGGAUCACCAACUACAUCUUCCUUUGUUGCAACUGAAAGCACAGCAAAAGUAAAAAUGAAGUACAUUUAAAACAAACAUACUAUUAGCUUACAUAAAUUUCUCUUAUUUUCAUGGUGCAGUGGUGUGGUGAUAAACAGAUAUCGGGGAUUAAGAAAUUGAUAAAUCGCUGAACAUUUUGCAGGAGAAAAGCUGAUAAAAGGCCUCUUCUUUCUGAGGCACUAUGCUAAAGAAAAAAUAUUUCACAUUUAAGCAGCAUUCUUCAGGGAUUUUAUGUCCUUUCAAGAUAAACUUAAAAUACUUUGCCUGGUUGCAUGCAUGAUGACAGAUUUUGAGAAGGGGAAAAAAAAAAUCAGCUACCAGUUACUGGGCGGCUAAACAAGUGGAAUGCGUGUGUCUUCCUGGCUUUGAGUGAUGAAUUAGUCCCACCAGACAUGGCUGUGAUACCAGACUCAUCAGGCAAGGUGUCCCAUGUCACCAAAGGCCACAUCAACUCACAUAUCUAGGAAAACCAGGAAAGGGCAUGGAAACUGAUACCAUACGGCCUGAAGAUUGUGCCACCCCAGUCGUAUCGUGCCCCAUGUCAGCUGGAAGCUCAGUGAAUCCUGACAAUCCUGUUAUGAGUUUGUGGUCUCAUUUCUUCCAUUCACGCAGGUGCUAUUUCUAAUCUUUACACCACUUUUCUCAAGUUCCCUCUUCACUCUCAGCAGAUAAUCUUGCCUUCUAUUUCACAGAGUAAAUAGGGGUUAUCACAGAAAAUGUCUGUCAACACCUAACUUCUUACCUCCAAAUCUAUUUACCUUCACACAUCCCGUCACAGAGAAUUAGAGAAAUCUCUCCCUGUUAAGAGUGUAUUGCUCUACUUGCAUCAUGAGAUCAAGACUCCCUACAGGUCUUGAUCUGUCAAUUAUAGCUUUUCUU